This 332-nucleotide unclassified non-coding RNA is filed under the name soil metagenome. RNAcentral describes it as "partial contains 5.8S ribosomal RNA, internal transcribed spacer 2, and large subunit ribosomal RNA". The stretch from base 1 to 120 matches the Rfam family "5.8S ribosomal RNA", at positions 35 to 154 of the family's 154-position model. The record is from RNAcentral.
GAUGAAGAACGCAGCGAAAUGCGAUAAGUAAUGUGAAUUGCAGAAUUCAGUGAAUCAUCGAAUCUUUGAACGCACAUUGCGCCCGCCAGUAUUCUGGCGGGCAUGCCUGUUCGAGCGUCAUUUCAACCAUCAAGCCCUGCUUGCGUUGGGGUCCUGCGGCUGCCCGCAGGCCCUGAAAACCAGUGGCGGGCUCGCUAGUCACACCGAGCGCAGUAAUACAUCUCGCUUUGGGCGUGCGGCGGGUUCUUGCCGUUAAACACCCCCUUUUUACCAAGGUUGACCUCGGAUCAGGUAGGAAUACCCGCUGAACUUAAGCAUAUCAAUAAGCGGGA